Molecule: long non-coding RNA, 432 nt
Filed under: Vitis vinifera (wine grape)
Lineage: Eukaryota; Viridiplantae; Streptophyta; Magnoliopsida; Vitales; Vitaceae
Description: long non-coding RNA (VVIN_LNC004387)
Source: RNAcentral
AGGAAGCGAGUCGGUUUAACAGGCUUCAAUUGUCGCUGUGGAAACAUCUUCUGUGCAGUGCAUCGCUACUCUGACAAACAUGCCUGCCCAUUCGACUACAGGACCGCUGCUCGAGAUGCCAUAGCCAAAUCCAACCCUGUUAUCAAGCCUGAAAAGCUUGACAAAAUCUAAGAAGCCAUGUUUGAACAGUCUACCCCACGAGUCUUCUCUUGUUUACUCAUGACAUAAAUGGUCGCUCGGGCUUUCCCUGUCUGAAAGAACAUUAUAGAUCAGUCAUCCAUGGUGUGUUUUGCUGCUGGUCUGAUGAACAGGCUUCUCAUGGUAAGUUUUCAAUGCACCCUUCUGCUUUAUGUUAUACUUUCUCCUGGGUUUGCUACAUGUGUGGUUGGUUCAUGCAGAACUCAAACUGGUACAAGAACUUAUCUAUGAGCC